This 253-nucleotide ribosomal RNA is filed under the name uncultured bacterium. Its description in RNAcentral is "partial 16S ribosomal RNA". It matches the Rfam family "Bacterial small subunit ribosomal RNA", at positions 524 to 776 of the family's 1533-position model. The record is from RNAcentral.
UACGUAGGGGGCUAGCGUUGCUCGGAAUCACUGGGCGUAAAGCGCACGUAGGCGGCUUGUUAAGUCAGGGGUGAAAUCCUGGAGCUCAACUCCAGAACUGCCUUUGAUACUGGCGAGCUUGAGUUCGGGAGAGGUGAGUGGAACUGCGAGUGUAGAGGUGAAAUUCGUAGAUAUUCGCAAGAACACCAGUGGCGAAGGCGGCUCACUGGCCCGAUACUGACGCUGAGGCGCGAAAGCGUGGGGAGCAAACAGG